RNAcentral lists this long non-coding RNA (228 nucleotides) under Lathyrus oleraceus (garden pea). RNAcentral's name for it is "Pisum sativum (pea) long non-coding RNA (PSAT_LNC029092)". Lineage: Eukaryota; Viridiplantae; Streptophyta; Magnoliopsida; Fabales; Fabaceae. The record is from RNAcentral.
AACAAUGGGAACAGUUGAGGUAGCAACCUCAAAAAUGACAGUCCUCUAGGGAGGAGUUGCAGGAGUUGGUGUAACAACCCAAUUUUAGUAUUUACUUCUUAUAUUAUUAUUAUUAUUUUAUUUUAUUUAUUUGGAGUGUUAAUUAAUUAAUUGGUUGUUAGGUAGUAUAAUAAUUGAUUAUAUUAAUUAACUUGGUGUAUAUACUGUGUUGGUUUAAUUUAUUUGAAC